GUCUAUUUGAAGCUAUAAAAAGUCUAACCUGCCCACUGAUUAAAAAUUUUAAGGGCCGCGGUAUUAUGACCGUGCAAAGGUAGCAAAAUCAUUAGGUUUUUAAAUGGAAUCUUGUAUGAAUGGUUGGACAAAGAAAAAGCUGUCUUUAUUUUAAAAUUUGAAUUUUACUUUUAAGUGAGAAGGCUUAAAUAUUUUAGAGGGACGAUAAGACCCUAUAAAGCUUUACAUUGUAAUAUAUAUUUGAUUAAAUUUAAAAAUAAAAGUUUAAUAUAAUUGUUUGUUUUAUUGGGGAGAUAAAAGUAUAAAUGAUAUUAGCUGCUUUUAAUAAAGACAUUUAUUUAUGGACUAAAUUAUAAUAGAUCCUUACAAAUAAAGAAUAAAAG
This 383-nucleotide ribosomal RNA is filed under the name Parathelphusa nitida. RNAcentral describes it as "partial 16S ribosomal RNA". The record is from RNAcentral. Lineage: Eukaryota; Metazoa; Arthropoda; Malacostraca; Decapoda; Gecarcinucidae.